This 319-nucleotide ribosomal RNA is filed under the name uncultured eukaryote. RNAcentral describes it as "partial 18S ribosomal RNA". It matches the Rfam family "Eukaryotic small subunit ribosomal RNA", at positions 1470 to 1796 of the family's 1831-position model. The record is from RNAcentral.
CCCCUAGAUGUUCUGGGCCGCACGCGCGCUACACUGAACAGUUCAACAAGUCUUAACCUUGGCCGAUAGGUCUGGGUAAUCUUUGAACGCUGUUCGUGAUUGGGAUAGACCUUUGCAAUUAUGGGUCUUCAACGAGGAAUUCCUAGUAAACGCAAGUCAUCAGCUUGCAUUGAUUACGUCCCUGCCCUUUGUACACACCGCCGUCGCACCUACCGAUUGAAUGGUCCGGUGAAAUCUCGGGACGGCGGCUUGGUCGCUUGCGUCCGACUGCUGAAACUUGAUUAAACCAUAUCAUUUAGAGGAAGGUGAAGUCGUANCA